UAAAUAUGUACUUAAGUUCCACCAAACAGGCCUUAGGCCUAAAUCGGUGGAAGGGACUAUAAAUAGGGGUAGGGUAUCACCGAAUUACCCUAUUUUGAGCUGCUAUUCACUAUGAACAGAAAGAAGAAGAAGAGAGAAAGAAGAAGGAAGGAAAAAGAAAGGAAAGAGGAAGAGGAGAUAAAGAGAGAGUUGCUGAACUUGAGACAGCAGCUGGAUAAGUCUCUGUUUAGGGAAUUUGACUAGCAGUGUGGAAAUCUAUUCAGUGCAGAAAGGGAAUCCAUCUAAUUCUAAUACCAAAAUGACGAAGGCAGUAUUUUGCCGACUCUCAGCAAUGAUUAUGAGACAGUGGCCAUGGAUCACCUAGCCCAUAUUCCAGAGGAUGAAUUCGACCAUAGACCCGUCUGUGAUUGUGACGACUGUGCCUACGGAGGCCAGUACUUA
Long non-coding RNA from Macadamia integrifolia, 441 nucleotides. RefSeq lists it as uncharacterized. The transcript has 3 exons. The record is from RefSeq and is a predicted model, not a curated record. Lineage: Eukaryota; Viridiplantae; Streptophyta; Magnoliopsida; Proteales; Proteaceae.